CGGGUGUAAGAGAGAGAGGGUUGAAUUGGCUGAUGCCCCAGCCAGCUCAACAGCUGUCUUUUCACUCAGCUGCGGUGCUCUUUACUCGCCCCGUCUCACUCAUGCGCACCUACAACCCGGCCGGCGUUGCUGCUGCUGCCGCUCUCUCUCUCUCUAUCUCUCUCUGUGCGGUGUAAUUGAGUGGCUGUGUUGGUGAGCCGUGCAUACGUGACUUUUGAAAAAGCCAAAAGGAAAAAAAGAGAAAAGCCGGAAAGGACGGAACAGGAGCAAAGGACGGCAGCGAUGAAAAUGUUCUCCCGCAAGGAAGAAAUACACGUACACCAAAUCAACCCCCAUCCCCACCCCUCUACUAACAACAAAAAACCCAUAUUACUGUGCUGCCGACGCCGACGUCGAUGGCAUCUCGAUGCCGGCAGCGGAGAAGCUGAAGCUGAAGCUGAAAUUUUCCACUGCACUCGCCUUGCACUUCAAAACCGAAACUCUAUAGCCCAAUACCCAGUUGCAAGUUGCAACUUGCAACAUGCAGCAAGGCAACAUCGGCUGUUGCCAGGCAGUUGCAAAUAAAAACAAAAACUAAAAGAUACUCAGAUACAAGAUACGAAGUAUACGAACUGGCAGAAUUUCCACAGAAAGAAGCAAAAUGCAAAUUUGUUUUUUUUUUUGCCCAACUCUGUCGAUUUUCAAGGCGAUUUUCAGCGCUGAGCUAGUUCAGAGGCCCCCCCA
This is a long non-coding RNA of Drosophila ananassae, 723 nucleotides long. RefSeq lists it as uncharacterized. The transcript has 2 exons. The record is from RefSeq and is a predicted model, not a curated record. Lineage: Eukaryota; Metazoa; Arthropoda; Insecta; Diptera; Drosophilidae.